GCAAGUCGAACGGUAACAGGAAUUAGCUUGCUACCCGCUGACGAGCGGCGGACGGGUGAGUAAUGCUUGGGAAGCUGCCCGAUAGAGGGGGAUAACAGUUGGAAACGACUGCUAAUACCGCAUAACCUCUUUUCUUUUCGAAGAAGGGAGCAAAGCGGGGGAUCUUCGGACCUCGCGCUACCGGAUGUGCCCAAGUGGGAUUAGCUAGUUGGUGGGGUAAUGGCUCACCAAGGCGACGAUCCUUAGCUGGUCUGAGAGGAUGAUC
This 265-nucleotide ribosomal RNA is filed under the name uncultured bacterium. Its description in RNAcentral is "partial 16S ribosomal RNA". It matches the Rfam family "Bacterial small subunit ribosomal RNA", at positions 57 to 305 of the family's 1533-position model. The record is from RNAcentral.